RNAcentral lists this ribosomal RNA (492 nucleotides) under uncultured bacterium. RNAcentral describes it as "partial 16S ribosomal RNA". It matches the Rfam family "Bacterial small subunit ribosomal RNA", at positions 29 to 507 of the family's 1533-position model. The record is from RNAcentral.
AGUGAACGCUGGCGGUAGGCCUAACACAUGCCAGUCGAACGGCAGCACAGUAAGAGCUUGCUCUUACGGGUGGCGAGUGGCGGACGGGUGAGGAAUACAUCGGAAUCUACUUUUUCGUGGGGGAUAACGUAGGGAAACUUACGCUAAUACCGCAUACGACCUACGGGUUAAAGCAGGGGAUCUUCGGACCUUGCGCGAUUGAAUUAGCCGAUGUCGGAUUAGCUAGUUGGCGGGGUAAAGGCCCACCAAGGCGACGAUCCGUAGCUGGCCUGAGAGGAUGAUCAGCCACACUGGAACUGAGACACGGUCCAGACUCCUACGGGAGGCAGCAGUGGGGAAUAUUGGACAAUGGGCGCAAGCCUGACCCAGCCAUACCGCGUGGGUGAAGAAGGCCUUCGGGUUGUAAAGCCCUUUUGUUGGGAAAGAAAAGCAGCAGGUUAAUACCCCGCUGUUCUGACGGUACCCAAAGAAUAAGCACCGGCUAACUUCGUG